Non-coding RNA from Podarcis lilfordi (Lilford's wall lizard), 72 nucleotides. NCBI's taxonomy places the organism in Eukaryota, Metazoa, Chordata, Lepidosauria, Squamata, Lacertidae. The record is from the annotation of a GenBank genome assembly.
UCCCUGGUGGUCUAGUGGUUAGGAUUUGGUGCUCUCACGGCCAGGGCCCAGGUUUGAUUUCCGGUCAAGGAA